RNAcentral lists this ribosomal RNA (534 nucleotides) under Bifidobacterium pseudocatenulatum. Its description in RNAcentral is "bacterial SSU rRNA". It matches the Rfam family "Bacterial small subunit ribosomal RNA", at positions 154 to 700 of the family's 1533-position model. Lineage: Bacteria; Bacillati; Actinomycetota; Actinomycetes; Bifidobacteriales; Bifidobacteriaceae. The record is from RNAcentral.
AAACGGGUGGUAAUGCCGGAUGCUCCGACUCCUCGCAUGGGGUGUCGGGAAAGAUUUCAUCGGUAUGGGAUGGGGUCGCGUCCUAUCAGGUAGUCGGCGGGGUAACGGCCCACCGAGCCUACGACGGGUAGCCGGCCUGAGAGGGCGACCGGCCACAUUGGGACUGAGAUACGGCCCAGACUCCUACGGGAGGCAGCAGUGGGGAAUAUUGCACAAUGGGCGCAAGCCUGAUGCAGCGACGCCGCGUGCGGGAUGACGGCCUUCGGGUUGUAAACCGCUUUUGAUCGGGAGCAAGCCUUCGGGUGAGUGUACCUUUCGAAUAAGCACCGGCUAACUACGUGCCAGCAGCCGCGGUAAUACGUAGGGUGCAAGCGUUAUCCGGAAUUAUUGGGCGUAAAGGGCUCGUAGGCGGUUCGUCGCGUCCGGUGUGAAAGUCCAUCGCUUAACGGUGGAUCUGCGCCGGGUACGGGCGGGCUGGAGUGCGGUAGGGGAGACUGGAAUUCCCGGUGUAACGGUGGAAUGUGUAGAUAUCGA